This 336-nucleotide ribosomal RNA is filed under the name Triticum aestivum (bread wheat). RNAcentral's name for it is "partial small subunit ribosomal RNA". Lineage: Eukaryota; Viridiplantae; Streptophyta; Magnoliopsida; Poales; Poaceae. The record is from RNAcentral.
AUGGCGCCAUCCCCGGCCGCCGCCGUGAAGACGACGAGAGCGACGUGCGUGCUGUUGAUCCUGCUCCUGUUGGCCGACGGGCGGUCGAGGCCCGUGGCUGGGCAGGCGCCACCGGCGCCCGAGGAGGCCGUGGCAAUCGAGGCGGAUGCCGACGGCCGUGGAAACGGCACCCGCGGCGGCGGCAGGAGCGCCGGGACGCCGAAGGAGUUGAGCGCCAUCGACUGCCAGGUCUGCGAGUCGACGUGUCGGGUCAAGUGCCUCGUCAACAACCUCUUGCAGUGGGGCAGCUGCUACCAGCACUGCAAGGCCGACAACUGCAACGAGUGGUGUAGGUAG